GCGGCUGUGGCAGAGGUGGAAAAUGCACCAGUUUGUGGAACUGGUCGGUGCCGGUUCGAACCCGGUCAGUCGCCC
RNAcentral lists this transfer RNA (75 nucleotides) under Microbacterium phage Pumpernickel. Its description in RNAcentral is "tRNA-His". It matches the Rfam family "tRNA". Rfam says of the family: Transfer RNA (tRNA) molecules are approximately 80 nucleotides in length. The record is from RNAcentral. Lineage: Duplodnaviria; Heunggongvirae; Uroviricota; Caudoviricetes.